Molecule: ribosomal RNA, 744 nt
Filed under: uncultured Oribacterium sp.
Lineage: Bacteria; Bacillati; Bacillota; Clostridia; Lachnospirales; Lachnospiraceae
Description: bacterial SSU rRNA
Rfam family: Bacterial small subunit ribosomal RNA
Source: RNAcentral
GAUGAACGCGGCGGCGUGCCUAACACAUGCAAGUCGAACGAGAUGCGUAUUGGAAAGCUUCGGCCGGAGAUACGUUAUCUAGUGGCGGACGGGUGAGUAACACGUGGGUAACCUGCCUUAUGGAGGGGGAUAACAGAGAGAAAUCACUGCUAAUACCGCAUAAGCACACAGUACCGCAUGGUACAGGGUGAAAAGAUUUAUCGCCAUAAGAUGGACCCGCGUCUGAUUAGCCAGUUGGCAGGGUAAAAGCCUACCAAAGCAACGAUCAGUAGCCGAUCUGAGAGGAUGACCGGCCACAUUGGGACUGAGACACGGCCCAAACUCCUACGGGAGGCAGCAGUGGGGAAUAUUGCACAAUGGGGGAAACCCUGAUGCAGCGACGCCGCGUGAGUGAAGAAGUAUUUCGGUAUGUAAAGCUCUAUCAGCAGGGAAGAUAAUGACAGUACCUGACUAAGAAGCCCCGGCUAACUACGUGCCAGCAGCCGCGGUAAUACGUAGGGGGCAAGCGUUAUCCGGAUUUACUGGGUGUAAAGGGAGCGUAGACGGAAUGGCAAGUCUGAAGUGAAAUACCCGGGCUCAACCUGGGAACUGCUUUGGAAACUGUUGUUCUAGAGUGUUGGAGAGGUAAGUGGAAUUCCUGGUGUAGCGGUGAAAUGCGUAGAUAUCAGGAAGAACACCGGAGGCGAAGGCGGCUUACUGGACAAUAACUGACGUUGAGGCUCGAAAGCGUGGGGAUCAAACAGG